RNAcentral lists this long non-coding RNA (2573 nucleotides) under Olea europaea subsp. europaea. Lineage: Eukaryota; Viridiplantae; Streptophyta; Magnoliopsida; Lamiales; Oleaceae. The record is from RNAcentral.
GACAUUCUAGUAUUUUUUGAUACAGAAAAUGAACAUGAAAAGCAUGUAACUAAUGUUUUAAUGGAAGCUUACAAUAUAGGUAUUGUGCUAUUUGAAAAGAAAGCAGAAUUGUUUAAGGAAAAAAUUGGAUAUCUUGGAUUAGAUAUAGCAAAUGGCUAUAAAAAACUUAAGCCCCAUAUCCUUACUCAUAUUCAAGAAUUUCCAAACGAAAUUCAAGAUAAAAAACAGUUGAUGAGAUUUCUUGGAUGUCUCACUUAUGCAGAAUCUUUUAUAAAAGAUUUAGCAUAAAUGAGAACACCACUUCAGAAAAAACUCAAAAAAGAUUUUAGAUGGAUUUGGGCUAAAGAAGAUACUCUUUAUGUUAGAAAAAUUAAAUCUAAAUUAAAAUUUUUGCCAUCAUUAUAUCAUCCCAAAGUAGGUGAUAGAAUGAUAAUUGAGACAAAUGCCUCUCAAGAACAUUGGGGAGCAGUCUUGAAAGCUCUUGAUCAACAAGGAUAAGAAGAAGAAAAAUUAUGUGGUUAUGCUUCUGGAACUUUUUCAAGUGCAGAAAAGAAUUAUCACAUAAAUGAAAAAGAAAUUUUAUCUAUGAAAAAAGCAAUAACAAAAUUCAGACUGUAUAUAAUUUUUGAUAAGUUCAUUGUCAGAACUGAUUCAAGUACUUGUAAUUCAUUUUUGAAAAGUUAGACACAUCCAGACUACAAGCAAGGAAGACUUGUAAGAUGGUAGAUGUGGUUCAGCCAUUAUUUUUUCAAUUGAAAUAAUAAAAGGGAAAAAUAAUUCUUUAGCUGAUACAUUAACAAGAGAAUUUGCUGUUGCAGGUUAAAAUGAUAGAAUUGAAGAUCAAAUUGCUGAUCUAGAAAUACAAAUCAAAAUGGAAGAGAUGGAAAUCUCAACAAGACAACAGAAGGUACAAAUUCUGAAAAAGAAGCUUACUAGACUUCUUAAUAUUAAACAAUCAACAACUUCUGUUUCAAAGAGGAAGAGUGAUAUCUCUAAAAAACAACCACUACCCCAAAGAGAAGAAAUCAACAUUAGCAAGACUAAUGAAGAUGAAAAUACAGUCCUGAGGAAUACACUCAAAAUAGAUGAGCAUUGUAAAGCUCAUUGUUCUCAAGAACAAAAGGGUAUUCAAAACCCAAAAGAAGAGUCAGAAGCUCAAGGGCCAAAAACUCAAUUACAGACAGGAGUGCAUUUUAAGCCUCAAAGUUCUCACGAACUAAAGGGUAUUCAAAGCCCAAAAGAAGGACUAAAAGUUCAAGAAAACUUUGAAAAUCUACCACGUGUUGGUGUUAAUACAUCUCUUGUAUGAACAAAAUUCUAUGUAAUCUUUGAUGGGCCACAAAGAGGAUUUUAUACCAACUGGGUACAAGUUGAACCACUUGUAAAAAACAAGCCCUAUAAACAUAAAAGUUUCAAAACUUAUACAGAAGUUCAAAAAGCCUUUUCAAACCAUUAUAAAAAUAAAGGAGACAGCCCAGUUCCAUAUAAAUAGCUUUUUGAAUUUGAUAAUAUUCAUUUAAGACCAAAUUGUCAAAACAAAGUCCAAGGGCAAGAUCCCGAUUACCAGCCCAACUUUUUAAACCACCACCAAGCCAAAUCGGAGAAUCAGAAUGAUUUCCUUCAAAGAUGGAAUCCAAUGCAAUCCAAUACAAUCCUAAAAUUGAGUAUAUUCCAGAUAGAUUUAAAAAGAUUGGAAAAAUACCAAAACAACAGGAAAGCCCAUUCUUUAAUGGGAUAACAUUAAAUGAUUUUCUUCAAUAUGAAGAAGAAGCCAGAAUAGUAGGAGCAUAUGCCCCAGAAAAAAAACUAUUAUAGCACAAUGGAGAAAAAAUUUGGACAGUUCAUUUUCUUUGAAGGAGCUGAUCCAAUAAUGGUACAGACAGCAUUCCACCGUGGAUUGAUCAAGAUGAUAGUCCUCAGUAAAACCAUGGAAGAAAUACAAUUGAUUGAUAACAAACUAUUGAAAACCUUAAUGGAUUUCAAGAAAUUUGUUAUUAAAGACCAAGAAUUACAAAUGAUGUUAAAAAUCAAUAGUACGAUACCAUUUUGGAAUGAAGAAGGAUUAUUGGUGAAGGGAUACCAUCAUAUUCAGAUUAAGAUUGUUCCAGAAGUUAUUCUGAAUAAACUAAUAGAAGGACAGAUUGAAUGCGUCAAUGAGGAAAAAAUGUAUGACUAGAGAAGUCUUGAAAGCUCUUGAGGUAAGCAUUAUAUACUUUGAAUUAUUCUAGAUGUCCAGACCUCACAAAUAGGGGGUGUCAAAAUGUAACAUAACUAACACUUAGCUUUUAAAUACACACAAUAAAUACACAUAUAUACAUGUAUAUGCUACACGUUAAUGGAAUAGUGAUACACAUCUUGAUUCAAUAUAAAAGUAUUGACAAUUGAUUAUAUAAAACUUAUAUUAGAUCCCCAAAAUGAUAGAUACAAAUGUGCAUGAGGAUUGUUUACUGAGCGUUAGCUCAUUCCACAUUAUCCCUCCCCAUUUUUAGAUGACAAAGGCAGAAUGAUUCGAGACUACUAUUCGUAGUGAGACGGACGUGGUACUAAUACAUUUAGCCCCUGUUUGAUUACAA